Molecule: ribosomal RNA, 253 nt
Filed under: uncultured bacterium
Lineage: Bacteria
Description: partial 16S ribosomal RNA
Rfam family: Bacterial small subunit ribosomal RNA
Source: RNAcentral
UACGAAGGGUGCUAGCGUUGUUCGGAAUCACUGGGCGUAAAGGGCGCGUAGGCGGCGCCGCAAGUCAGGGGUGAAAUCCUGGGGCUUAACCCCAGAAUUGCCUUUGAAACUGCGGUGCUAGAGUGUCGGAGGGGAUAGCGGAAUUCCUAAUGUAGAGGUGAAAUUCGUAGAUAUUAGGAGGAACACCGGUGGCGAAGGCGGCUAUCUGGACGACAACUGACGCUGAGGCGCGAAAGCGCGGGGAUCAAACAGG